This 253-nucleotide ribosomal RNA is filed under the name uncultured bacterium. RNAcentral's name for it is "partial 16S ribosomal RNA". It matches the Rfam family "Bacterial small subunit ribosomal RNA", at positions 524 to 776 of the family's 1533-position model. The record is from RNAcentral.
UACGUAGGGGGCUAGCGUUGCUCGGAAUCACUGGGCGUAAAGGGUGCGUAGGCGGGUUUUUAAGUCAGAGGUGAAAUCCUGGAGCUCAACUCCAGAACUGCCUUUGAUACUGAAGAUCUUGAGUUCGGGAGAGGUGAGUGGAACUGCGAGUGUAGAGGUGAAAUUCGUAGAUAUUCGCAAGAACACCAGUGGCGAAGGCGGCUCACUGGCCCGAUACUGACGCUGAGGCACGAAAGCGUGGGGAGCAAACAGG